CCUACGGGCGGCAGCAGUGGGGAAUAUUGGGCAAUGGGCGCAAGCCUGACCCAGCAACGCAGCGUGAAGGAAGAAGGCUCUCGGGUUUUAAACUUCUUUUGUUAGGGAAGAGUAGAAGACGGUACCUGACGAAUAAGCCACGGCUAACUACGUGCCAGCAGCCGCGGUAAUACGUAGGUGGCAAGCGAUGUCCGGAUUUACUGGGUGUAAAGGGCGUGUAGCCGGGUUGACAAGUCAGAUGUGAAAUUCUGCGGCUUAACCGAAGAACUGCAUUUGAAACUGUUGCUCUUGAGUACGGGAGAGGCAGACGGAAUUCGUGGUGUAGCGGUGAAAUGCGUAGAUAUUAGGAAGAACACCAGUGGCGAAGGCGGUCUGCUGGAGAGCAACUGACGGUGAGGCGCGAAAGCGUGGGGAGCGAACAGGAUUAGAUACCCGAGUAGUC
RNAcentral lists this ribosomal RNA (442 nucleotides) under uncultured bacterium. Its description in RNAcentral is "partial 16S ribosomal RNA". It matches the Rfam family "Bacterial small subunit ribosomal RNA", at positions 338 to 795 of the family's 1533-position model. The record is from RNAcentral.